GUCUCUGGCUGCUGUUGACCUUGUUUUUGGAGUAAAACACGGUGGAAGCUGAAUUAGUGAGGAUGACUCCUGCUCCUGUCAUCUCUAAGCUCCUCACACAUCUUUACCUGCACAUGAGGAAAAUCACUCCUGUAGAAUGCAGAUGUUCAGAAGGAGAUGAUGCCGCAUCUGGUCCAGCUGAUGGAAGGUCUUGAAGUUCUCUGACUGGCCUGGACUGAAGAUGAAAACUGUGAUGGUGUUGGAUUGUCAGACCGUAAUGUUGCAGCUCAAAGCAGCUUUUCUAGCUCAGUUCAUUCUGACAUUCAGCUAUGAAUCAACACA
Long non-coding RNA from Amphiprion ocellaris (clown anemonefish), 321 nucleotides. The record is from Ensembl. Lineage: Eukaryota; Metazoa; Chordata; Actinopteri; Pomacentridae.